Molecule: ribosomal RNA, 253 nt
Filed under: uncultured bacterium
Lineage: Bacteria
Description: partial 16S ribosomal RNA
Rfam family: Bacterial small subunit ribosomal RNA
Source: RNAcentral
CACGUAGGGGGCAAGCGUUGUCCGGCAUUAUUGGGCGUAAAGAGCUCGUAGGCGGCUCGGUAAGUCAGGUGUCAAAUCCUCAGGCUCAACCUGGGGCUCCACCUGAUACUGCUGUGGCUAGAGUCCGGUAGGGGAGCGUGGAAUUCCUGGUGUAGCGGUGAAAUGCGCAGAUAUCAGGAGGAACACCAGCGGCGAAGGCGGCGCUCUGGGCCGGAACUGACGCUGAGGAGCGAAAGCGUGGGUAGCAAACAGG